GAAGGUCAGGGAGAUGUUUGCUAGUGCUAACUGCCUUCACUUUGCAGUAGUUGUGGAAACAACAGACAUACUUUUAAUAACAGACACACUGUGACCUACUCUGUACAUUUACUUCCAGACUGACAACUUAUUACUCGCUUUCCGCAUCACUUUCUGCCGUUCUCUCACUCGCUCAGCCAUUGACUCGCUACGCAAAGAUGUUUUACAAGCACGAGAUACAACGACAGUGAACACACCAGUGCAGAUGUAAUUCAUUAGCUACCCGGUUGGUUUUGUUCUGAUAGGCUACGUUGUUAACAAGACUCCACAUGCGGUGCACGUGCUGCUAUAAUGAUCACAGAUAGUAUUUAAAAGGUGGGUUAAAAUAACAAAAAAAACUUAAGGAUAAUAACAUAAAUCUGCAUAAUUUUCCUUUUCAGAUGUAUAUAGUUGCAGAAUUCACAGAGUCCAACACUGUAAAUAUUAUAUCAGACUCGUGGUUUGAAGAUGGUGCGACUUUGUGGCCAAGCUAUAAAAGCGAUGAACGCAUCAACAGAGCUGUUCGAAAACAUGAGGUGCCAGGAUCAGACUGGAAAAUGUAUGACGUUCGAGUCCUCGCAAGAGCUGGCUCAUCUUUGGUGAUACCGACUCUGAAAGUGAGCCAGAGGAGAGGAACAAUACAAGACCCACUUAUCUCUCCCUCACUCCAGCACCACCUAUUGCUCCACCGACUCCUAACUUCUCCGCUAGACCUCUGCCAGAUCCGAAUCAUGCUGAACUUCUUCAUUCCACUGCGGCUGCACCACUUGUUCCCGUCCUUCCACCUUGCAUGCCUUCAAGUCCUCCAUGCCAGAUUUCUGCUGGACCUCUGCCUGAUCUGAGGCAAUGUGAUCGUGGUAGUUACACAGCUCCAGUGGCACUUGUUCCUACCCCUACGUCUCGCAUGCCCUCAAGUCCUAGGCGCCGGAUCACUGCCACUCCUCUCACAAAUGACUAUCAAGGCCAUUGUUUUGUCCCUACUUUUAAACUGGGGAGGACUGGCACUGGACCUGUUCCUUGCUCUGGUAAAAUAUAUAUAUUUUUUAACUCUGUGACCGUAUACAUGGUUUAAAUAAGAGCUAUUUAAAAAAAUACUUAUAGAAGGAUACUGUGUGUGUGUGUGUAUUAGAGCCGACCGAUUUGAGCUAAUUUCAUUGGCAUCGGCCGUUUAUAACGGCAGAUAUGACUAUUAAAAGAGAAACAGACUCAGAUCAUUCACUCAUGUCAUGGGUGUUGCAUAGUUUGCCCACCAGAGGCAAACAAGUUUAAUGUUACGGUAGCUGGGUGUUUAAAGCUAGCUGUUGACAGACGUAAAUUAACUGUAGAUUUAAUCUGAAACAGUGUGGUAGUUCUAGUGAAUGGUCCCCAUUUGUCCCUAGUUGUCCCUAUCACUUCUAAAUAUUCUCUACAAUCAGGUAACGUUACAGCAGGUAGCUGCCCGUUGCUAAAUGAGCCACAAAGCUAAUGCCGUGUUUAUCAGUGGAGGAGUGCUAACGGUAGUGAGCCAUUAAACUGAUUGUUUCUGAUGUAUUCUAAAUAUUUCUGCCAGCCACCUGUCUGCAGUUAUUGUCUGCGUGUCUGAAAUGAUUAAACCAGAGCGGACAUGUAAAUAAACGUGAGCUGAACAAGACUCUAACACGGCUUCCUGUAGCUCCUCUUUGUGUGACGUUGUUAGAUGUGAAACGCUGUAGUCAGAGCCGUACCGGCUGUAAGUGCUGUUACAUGAAAAAACAUAUUUUUCAUGUAACAGCACUUUUAAUAUAAUUGUUUCUUAACUCCUUUUGUAGCAGCUGAACUGCACAUUCUAACUUUGCUGGAACAUAUCAAGGAGCAGCAAAUGCAGCUGGCUGCUGCUGUAAAUGACAUUGCUGCAAGAAUGGGGACGGAAACUCCUAUGGCUGAGAUGCCUCAAAAUGUCAGUGUUCUGCUGGCCACCAUGUCUGAAGUGGAGGAGUUGGCUUAAAGAUGCAAGAAACUCGCAUGCUAAGCAAAACAUGAUUCAUUGGAAAGGAGUAAAUGGGAAAAGAGGUUUUAAAGAAAUGCUGACAAACACCAAGGCUGUACGGAAGAACCAAGCUGCUAGCAGCGCAUCGGACAACGAGAUUAACCAGCACGCCAUCCGCUGGUUCAACCUGGCCUCUGACCGUGGAGGUGGCCGCAAAGAACGUGCCAUGGCCAGAGAGGCCAUUCAUUAACCGUGGUAAGAGACUUGCUUGCUGGCGGGGCUGUGGUCUCUUACCACGGUUAAUGAAUGGCGGGGCUGUGGUCCGCUGGCGGGGCUGUGGUCCGCUGGCGGGGCUGUGGUCCGCUGGCGGGGCUGUGGUCCGCUGGCGGGGCUGUGGUCCGCUGGCGGGGCUGUGGUCCGCUGGCAGAACACCGGGUGCUUUCUGAUCAGGUGCCGUCGGGAUGUUGCCGAGGCGACAUAAAUUUUGUUUUACGGUGGACGGACUGCAACAUUACGGAGUUGUUUUCUUUUAGCUUGAAAUAAUCCCAUACUUUAGACACUUUCUUCUUCGCCCCUCCCUAUUUUCUCUCUCUUCCUCCACUUUGCAAACAGCGCCAUCAUAAUUACGUUGUGUUCACAGCAUAAGCGCGAUGUGCGACAGUAAUAAAUGUCCAUGCAAAACAGUGUUCUAUAUAGUUAUAUGGAUUAAACGAAGCUUUGCAUGGAUGCAAUUUAGUAUUCAGUUCAAUACUAAAUUGAAUUGUUCGAGCCCUUGUUAAGUGAAUGCCAAAUUAAAUCAGAGCACAUUUGUGACUGGGUGCUGACAAGCAAUGUAGCAUUUAAAAACAGCAUCACUGAUCUUUGUUAACUGAACAUUCUUUUAUGCAGAAAUGAACGCAUCGGCCAUCCCCCACUCUUCCACCACUGAUGAUUUGUUAUGUGAGAGUUGUGGCAUUCCCACUUCACUUGCCUCAUCAAUGUUUCCUGUAAAGCCACCAAAGAACGCAUAUGAACAUUUUGCAGUUUUUUCUGGGUUUCAUAUGACUAAAGUUGGAUAUUGUAUUUUGGCUAUAAAACCUUAGUUAUUUAUACCAUGGUCAUGGAAAAUGGUUAAAAUCUAAAUGGCUGGCAGGUAUUAUCUAUUAAGACAAACUUAUCGCUAAUUAAAACGUUACAUCUUGUGUUUAGGCUGUAGAAUCUCGUUUCUCUGCUGGCUUUAGCUUUUUUUUCUGCUUUAAUUAAAAAAAAUAACCACAAAAAAAACACCUGUGUCAUAGGUAUGUGGUAGUAAAGAAGUUUCUUAUUCCUACAGUUGUCCUGUAGUUGUUCCUACAAGAAGUUUCUUAUUCCUACAGUUGUUAAAGACAGAAAUGAGCUGUAAAAAUGUGUUUCUGUCCUGUCUUUUUCUCAGACAUUUUAAAUAAAAUGUAA
Esox lucius (northern pike) is the source of this 3394-nucleotide RNA transcript. RefSeq lists it as uncharacterized. The transcript has 6 exons. The record is from RefSeq and is a predicted model, not a curated record. NCBI's taxonomy places the organism in Eukaryota, Metazoa, Chordata, Actinopteri, Esociformes, Esocidae.